Molecule: ribosomal RNA, 460 nt
Filed under: uncultured bacterium
Lineage: Bacteria
Description: partial 16S ribosomal RNA
Rfam family: Bacterial small subunit ribosomal RNA
Source: RNAcentral
CCUACGGGUGGCAGCAGUGAGGAAUAUUGGUCAAUGGACGCAAGUCUGAACCAGCCAUGCCGCGUGCAGGAAGACGGCUCUAUGAGUUGUAAACUGCUUUUGUACGAGGGUAAACGCAGAUACGUGUAUCUGUCUGAAAGUAUCGUACGAAUAAGGAUCGGCUAAAUUCGGUCCAGCCGCCGCGGUAAUACGGAGGAUUCAAGCGUUAUCCGGAUUUAUUGGGUUUAAAGGGUGCGUAGGCGGUCGGAUAAGUUAGAGGUGAAAUCCCGAGGCUCAACUUCGGAAUUGCCUCUGAUACUGUUCGGAUAGAGAGUAGUAGCGGUAGGCGGAAUGUAUGGUGUAGCGGUGAAAUGCUUAGAGAUCAUACAGAACACCGAUUGCGAAGGCAGCUUACCAGGCUACUUCUGACGUUGAGGCACGAAAGCGUGGGGAGCAAACAGGAUUAGAUACCCUUGUAGUC